This 498-nucleotide ribosomal RNA is filed under the name uncultured bacterium. RNAcentral describes it as "partial 16S ribosomal RNA". It matches the Rfam family "Bacterial small subunit ribosomal RNA", at positions 30 to 523 of the family's 1533-position model. The record is from RNAcentral.
AUUGAACGCUGGCGGCAUGCCUUACACAUGCAAGUCGAACGGUAACAGGUCUUCGGAUGCUGACGAGUGGCGAACGGGUGAGUAAUACAUCGGAACGUGCCUAGUAGUGGGGGAUAACUACUCGAAAGAGUGGCUAAUACCGCAUGAGAUCUACGGAUGAAAGCAGGGGAUCGCAAGACCUUGUGCUACUAGAGCGGCCGAUGGCAGAUUAGGUAGUUGGUGGGAUAAAAGCUUACCAAGCCGACGAUCUGUAGCUGGUCUGAGAGGACGAUCAGCCACACUGGGGAUGAGACACGGCCCAGACGCCUACGGGAGGCAGCAGUGGGGAAUUUUGGACAAUGGGCGCAAGCCUGAUCCAGCAAUGCCGCGUGCAGGAUGAAGGCCUUCGGGUUGUAAACUGCUUUUGUACGGAACGAAAAGCCCCGGGUUAAUACCCUGGGGUCAUGACAGUACCGUAAGAAUAAGCACCGGCUAACUACGUGCCAGCCGCCGCCGUAA